UUGUUCUUGUUAGUAGUUUUAGUAGUUUUUCUUGUUAGUAGUUUUAGUAGUUUUAGUACUUUUAGUAGUUGUUCUUGUUAGUAGUUUUAGUGGUAGAUUUAGUAGGUAGUUUAGUGGUAGAUUUUGUUUUGUUAAUUAGUGGUAGCUUGUUAAAUUAGUUAGGUUAGUUAGUUAGGAGAAGAGGAGGAGGAGGAGGACGAGAAGAGGAGAAGAAGAAGAGGAGUAGGAGGAGGAGGAGGAGAAGAAAAAGAAGAAGAAGAAG
Molecule: long non-coding RNA, 262 nt
Filed under: Hordeum vulgare
Lineage: Eukaryota; Viridiplantae; Streptophyta; Magnoliopsida; Poales; Poaceae
Description: long non-coding RNA (HVUL_LNC014034)
Source: RNAcentral